RNAcentral lists this ribosomal RNA (498 nucleotides) under uncultured bacterium. RNAcentral describes it as "bacterial SSU rRNA". It matches the Rfam family "Bacterial small subunit ribosomal RNA", at positions 32 to 507 of the family's 1533-position model. The record is from RNAcentral.
AACGCUGGCGGCGUGCUUAACACAUGCAAGUCGAACGGACCGAGUUGAUAGCUUGCUAUUGAUGAGGUUAGUGGGCAAACGGGUGAGUAACGCGUAGGCAACCUGCCCUUCAGAUGGGGACAACACCUCGAAAGGGGUGCUAAUACCGAAUGACGUUUCCUAGUCGCAUGACCUGGAAACCAAAGGCCGGGCAACCGGUCACUGAAGGAUGGGCCUGCGUCUGAUUAGCUAGUUGGUGGGGUAACGGCCCACCAAGGCGACGAUCAGUAGCCGGUCUGAGAGGAUGAACGGCCACAUUGGGACUGAGACACGGCCCAAACUCCUACGGGAGGCAGCAGUGGGGAAUCUUCCGCAAUGGGCGCAAGCCUGACGGAGCAACGCCGCGUGAGUGAAGAAGGUUUUCGGAUCGUAAAGCUCUGUUGAGAGGGACGAGAGAUAUAAUCAGGAAAUGGGUUAUAGAGGACGGUACCUUUCGAGGAAGCCACGGCUAACUACGUG